Long non-coding RNA from Columba livia (rock pigeon), 7284 nucleotides. RefSeq lists it as uncharacterized. The record is from RefSeq and is a predicted model, not a curated record. The transcript is spliced from 4 exons. Lineage: Eukaryota; Metazoa; Chordata; Aves; Columbiformes; Columbidae.
ACUUGGAAGAAACAAAUAAAGGGAAGGAACUUGUUUGUGUGGUGAAUUCCUGGGAGUUUGGAAAAUAGAGGCUGUAGGAAUGUGCCCUGGGAAAUUUUAAACCCACUCCAAAGCUGUGGGUUUGAACAGCAGCGGAUUUAGUCCCUGGAAGGCAUCGAUGGGGAGAGAUGCUGCCAAAAGAGGGGGAGGCCGCCAGCAGCUCCAGACGUGCAGCCCUGGCCCCAAGGUGAGGAUGCGGGAGGAUGCUCAGACCCAGCAAAAUACGUGUUGAGCUUUCCCUGGAAGUGCUCGGCAGUGCCCAAGCCCCUUCAGGCACCGAAUCCCCUGGGAAAGUGCAGAUUUGGGAGAUACAGGUGCGGCUGGACACCGAUACUCCUUAGAGAGGGACCUGCUUUCUGGAGAAGGUUGAGCACAUGCUUCUCUGCAAACCUCUGCCAGAAGCCAUGGAGCCACUAUCACAGUGUCAUGGACCAUAUCGCUGAAACCAUUCCUAGAGCAGCCCGUCAGCAAAGUAAUAUGUUGUGUGCAUCUGCCAUGCUUCAGAGAUGUGAGAGAACCUGCACAGUACCGUGAGCUGGGGCAGCAGGCCAAGCAGAGGACAACCUGGAGCAGCAGCACCAGGCUCAGCAGCUCUGCCCUGCUCAUGAAGACUCCGGUUCCUGUUGAGCUGAAACCCCAGUGACAACCUCAACUGUAAAGAAAACUGAUGGUUUAUGGUCUCACCUCAAACACAUCACGGUUUUUCUACUGUGUGAUCCAGUCCUGUUUGGACCUGUCUGCCUACUAAUGUUUUGCAGGGUCAUUUAACCCCUCCUGACUCUGUACCCCACAUUUUUCCUGUGAAAAGCAGCAAAUGUUCAUCUCUGCACCUGACUUCAAACGUAAGAAGUGCUCACCUCUCCAAAGCAAGAUCUUUCAAAUGCAACUUCUGCAAUGUUCAAGCUGGAGUUAUCUCCAAAUGGAAGUCCUGGUAUUAACAGUUGCAAAGCUGAUCAACAGCUGAGUGACGGAGCCAGCCUGGAAACCCCAUACACCAUCCCUAGUGGGUGGCAUCAGACCUGGGUGAUCUAGACACUGAUGUAGAUGGAAGACCUCAAAAGCUGAAGCAGGAGGGGAACAACAGAGCCUUGGCCCCAGUCACUGGUCCAGAGCAUCUCUCCUGGGACACCGAUGGGCACAGCUCUCACACAUGGCACACAGGUGACCUGUCUUAAGUCCAGGUGGGAUUUAGUGACCCUGAGGUCACAGGAGCUCAGAUGUCCCCUGCGGAUCUCUUGAAUUCUCAUAAAGAACUGUUGGGUUAAGUUAGUGAAUCCAUGAUAAGAGCCCUCCUUUAUAUCUCUCAAUCCUGUUUAUUUGCUUCCCAUCUUAUGGAAGUGCAUCCCUACCUUUAACUGGGAAUCGGAAAGAUAACUACUGCUAGUGGGGGAAUAAUGUUGCAUUAACUGCUCAAAACACCUGGGAGAAGCUGUUUAGAUCACAUGUUUUCAAUGUGAAGGGUGGUUCAGCUCUGUGAAUUUGUAGUAAAUCAGCACGUCAUAAUAAGAACAAAUGUUUCAUUCUCACUUAAAAAUUACUAUGGUUAGAGACUUGUAAUGUGUAGUUUUCAUGCAGGGUUUACAUGACGGGAACUUAAAUCUGUUCCAUUUUCAUCUAUAAUUUAAAACGUGUCAUUUUGAUCGAUGAAUUAGUAAAAGAACCCAGGAUAAUUUUGAAACUACCAGCUUAGUAAAGUUGUCUGACCUUGCAAAUAACCUUUCCAGUUUAGAAGCCUUUAAUAGCUUAACUAUUAGCUAAUCUCCUGGGAAACAUUUUCCCUGGGCAAAACUAGUAUGGAAAUAUAACACCAGUAAUAAGGUUUCCAUCUUUCUCCUAUCUUGAUCUUUUUAAUUAAUUGCCACUCAGUAAAAACAUAAGACUGGGAGGCAGGGGAUAAAAAUCCUUGCAAGGGGAGGGCAGGAGUUAACUGUGGGCUACUUCUAUCCUUUACCUGCCUUUUUUGCAUAGAUUCAUUAGGUGCUGAAAUAUAUUAGCAAUUGUUAAGGCAAAACUGCUGCUUGAUUGCCUGACACUUUUGGCUGAAAGCUGUGAAAUAGAUCACUUUGUAAUGGAAAAAAGCUGCUCCUGCUUAUAACGAGCAAACAUUAAAAAACCCUGAAUGCUUUGCAGGGCACUUCAACAAGCCCCCGGGAGUUUUUGUGUUACGGUUUUGUUGUAGUCGGCGCUUGAGUUUUGCGGGUUGUUUCCUUCUGGGGAAGGGCAGUGUUUUUUCCAAAGACUGCAAAUAAGCGAUUUGUUAAAGGAAAAACAAGGACUUGUGUAUAAGUGAAGAGGACAGGGUGGAAAUUCGUUGCCCAGGUGAAAUGUGGACUAGUAUCUAGCUUUCUAAGCAUCCUACUUGGUUUAUUUUUCCAAAGUUUUAGUGUCAUUUUAUCUAAUGGCCCUCCAAUACAAGCAUUAUGUUGAAUUUAUGAGAGGUUCUCCCUAUUGCUUUAUUUGGCUGAUAAAGGGGUUCUCAUUUUACUAUAUGUGCAUUUUGUGCUAUGUUCUUCUGUGCUGCCUGCAGAAAAAUAAAAAAUCUGUUUCCUAGGCUAGGAGUGUGUGACCUGUACAUUGCUUGAGCUCUCUGGCAGCUCAUCUCCAGGUUCAGCUCAUGUCCUUUUUUUGUUUUUAAUUUGUGUGAGAGAAGAGCUUGGUGAGGCCUUCACUUACUUGCAAGCUUUCUGCAUCUUUUGCUGGGCCACAGAUCAUCCACCGUGCAGGUGAAGCCACAGUUUCUGUAGCAAUAACAUAGCUCCUGGAUGAAGAUACACAGAGUUUUGCUGCAAGGGUAUGGUGCCACAGGGGCUUCCCACAGGCUUAUCUUCAGCUGCUGAAGUUUAUUUUGCAGGUCCGCACUUCAAGCACUUUGGCUGAAUGUGUGAAGUGCAAACUUCUGAUGCAGUCCCUGGACCCCUCCAGCACACGUGAUAGAGGCUCUUCGCUUGUGCCCAUUGAACCCAACCCCUUCCCCAUUGCAGGUCCCUGUUACCCCACUCCAUGAGCCACCUGCUGUGUGUUUCAACCUUCUGGGGUCUCCCCACCGAACCAUGAGUCUCCCAUACCAAAAUCCUGUCUUCUUGGUCUCUUUCACUACCGUAAUUCAUCCCUGAUGAUGCACAAGCAGCAAUCCAAGGAAGAGCUUCCUAGUGAGAUGAAGAAUCCGUUUCAAGACUUAUACCUGGAUAUUCAAUCAAAACUUUGGCCUCUGCUCCCCUGCCACGGUGCCGUGUUGAGCAACAGAUGCACAGUGCCUCCAUGGGAGGUUUCUCUGGGGGACGGGGGGAACAGUCCAAAGGGACACCAAGUCUUCCCUGGGCCAUGCUGGGAGCUCCUCGGGCUCCGGCAUGUGUAUAUCAGCUGAUGACAGAAAUGGUCUUUAGCAUCAUGACUGCAGUACUUGUUUAAGCACAGAAUUGCUUUAAGGUGGCUUUGUCUGGGGCCAAAGUGGUGAUUCAGGGUGAGGUUACCUUACGAUGGAUUUUGGAGAAUUGUCAUGCUAAGCUGAUGUCAACGCUGCCAUACUUUUUAUUAAACAACAGAGUAAAACGAAAGCAGAGGGCCAGAUUCUGAUGUCAUUUUUGCUAGUAAAACAAGACAUAAGUCAAUGGGUAAUAAACUCGCCACUGGAGAACCACAGUGCUGUGCCAUGUAAUUAUGGUUGGCCCCAUAAAAAUCAGUGGAGGUGGGAAUGGAAGAGAGCUGCCACCUUAGAGAAAAGGAAAUUAGGAACUCUAAUAGUAGGAGAAAGCAGGAUGAAUAAUGAACAACCGGAUCCAACUCCCUGGUUUGGUACAUUCAAAAGCGUUAGAUUAAUUGUUUUUUUUUUUUUCCUUAAUACACCAUCACUUGCUGUCUACAUUUGCCAGGGGAGAACAGCCACUGGAAGUUUCCCGGUUCAACGUGGUGCAAUUAUACCAAGAUAUUGUUGUGCAAGGAUGCAGACACAGGGAGCCCUUGUUUCCUGAUAGGGCUGAAUGUGGAAACACUGAGCAACUUGCAAGCAUCUUAGCAGAGCUGUAAGAUAUUGAUGGAGUACUAGUGUGUAACCAAAGAGCCCAUAAAGCAGAAACAACAAAAGAGCAAUUACAAAGAGCAACAAAUAUUAUCUCUGUGAAUCUGCUCUGCACACUUUACAGCAGGGAGAGCUCAACUAAAGUUUUACAAAACAGCCUGGCAGCUAUGCUAUUUAUAUGUUCAACACCAAGCUUUCAUUAGUUUUAAUGUGUGUUAAUGGACACCUCAUAUUAUUUUGGGAGGCUAAAUGUGAGAUUUAUUUAAUUUCCUUAAAUAUCAAAUAUGGGUCAAGCAAAAUAAAUCAAGGCUCAUAUUUUUUUUAAGAAAAAAAAGUGUCAGUUUAACAGAAUUCAGACAAAGCAAUGCCUGAUCAUAUUUACAGCUUUUAUAGGUUUGGAAAUCUCCGAAGAAAUCUGAGGAAACCUAAAGCCUGCCUGAGUACAUUGAGUGAAAUUCCUCUUGGUAAUGCAUAAAUAUUCCACAUGUCUUUACAAGAAAACCCCUUAAACUGCAUGUAAAUAUUCCACAAUCUUUUAGAAAAUCUCCAAUUCAAAGGUGAUGCUCAAAACUGGCUCUUUUUUUAAAUUUAUUUUUUUUAAAUGCCAUUUGCAGAUCCUAUCAGUUCCAUCAGAUUUCUUCCUUUUCCUAAAAACAUCAGUGUUUCCAAACUGCCAUAUAAAGGCUUUCGAAACAGAGGCCUUGUGUUGUUUAAAAAAAGUUCUCAAAUAUGAACUACACACACCUAAAUAAAAUUGCAGCUACAAACAAACCUCUCACCUCAUCUUGUUCCUUAGGAUUUAAUGGAAAACUGGCAUAAAGCAUGGCAACAGAAAAAAUACCUGCCACAAAAAGUAAAUCUGUCAUACUUGGGAAAAUCCAUUCAUCAAAGAAGGGAAAAAUACAUUGAAAUCGUGAGAAGUUUAUAGAAUAAAUCUGUAACUGAUUUGGCUCUAAUAUUUAAUCUCUUUCUGCUACUUUGUAGUGUGAUAUUGUGUUUCCCCUGCAUAACUUGAACAUGACAAUGGGUUUUUAAUAGCAAAUCUAUAACUUAAUCAGGAUAUUACUGGUAUGGUAGGAGAAAGCCAGCGUCUUCCAAGUGUUUCUGAUUCUGGUCAGAAGGACAGAUGCCUGGGGUGGUAAAUCAGACACAGUUUGACUGGUAACACAUGACUUUGUAGAAGCGCCAUUGAUUUACAGCAGUGGAGAGCCUGGCUCUAAUCUGCACUGGAAAAGGCACCUUCAAAGCAAAACCAGCCCUGUACACACGGGUUCCAGUUCAACACAACCCUGUUUUGUCCUGAGAGCCAGGAUCUGGGAUCACAGGUUAGCACUGAACAAGAAAAAGUGCCAGGAGAAACACUCUCAGCUUCGUUCCUUUAACACAACAAAAACCGCGACCUCGUGCGCCGUGCCGGCGAUGCUGAGCUUGCUGACAUGCCAGGCUUCAAAGGAGAGCGUGCGGUGGCAGUGAAGGACCUGACCUUGCCAAGAGGUUUAUUUAUCGGCGUGAACCCAUGCCCUCCUCCAGUCCAGUGGCCAACAGAGCCAAACAGCUUCUGUUCAAGCCCGUGAACUGUAGGAAACCAGAGAGUUCAUGGGAGGGCUCCAGCACCCAUCCAGAGAUUUGACUGUCCUCAGUGACAGCAUGAUGAACUCAGGCAUGAGGUGUUGGCCCUUUGAAGAAGUAAUUAUGCUGCUAGUCAAGAAAAAAAUAGCUCUGGAUUGUGCCGUGCAUGUUUACACAAUGCCAAAGAGAUGAGCAGGCGCUCCUUGGAAUGGGUGCCACAACAGGGAGGACAUAUUUCAAAGAGUUAUUUAUUCCCCGGAGAUCCUGAAAGAAUGUUUGUUGGAUCAUGGAGAACAGUGGAAGCUCCUGAAAUCCAGGAUGCCAUAACUUGAAGGAGAAGCAGGCAGCAAAAGAUUUAUCUCUCUGGGCUACUAGGAGCCUGUCACUGCUUCAAGUGCCGUAAUCACCAUUUCGUAAUUACCGUGACUCCCCAGUGGCAGUCUCCUUUGUGACAACCCUGAUGGUGAUUAUUUAUGUCAUAUAAACAACAUAUGUUGGCAUAAUCGUCUUUCCCCACUUCUUAAUUCACCAGUUUCUCAAUGAGCUUUGCAAAGGCAAAGGGAAUGGGAAGGAAAAUGUUCUGCGCUGAGCAAGCUAAGGGUUUUAUCUGAGAUGUCACCUUCCUCUCCACUGAGAAAAAGCGAGAGUCUCUGCAUGCCACUGUGCUGCUGGGUACCUGAGGAAGCCCUUGUCUGGCCUCAUCUCUUAGGAUGCAGUUGGCUCUCAGUGCUCCUCAGGACGUCACUUGGCACAAAAGCAGUAAAAAAGUGCUUAUGUGGCUAUUUCUAUAAUAAACUACCUUUUGCCUUCCUGUGCAUCGUGCUUGCUCCAAAAUGAACGUCUCUCCUGUGCCAGCCCCAUGCCUGCAUCUUGUUCCUCUACCCCUCUUGUUUUGUCUGCUCUCUCUGUGAUAAUCGCCUCCGUUUGUACACUGCAUUGUUUUAAUUCCAGCCACCACUGAGAUAAGACUAUCAGUGUAUCACAACUUAUGUUUAGGAUAAUCUGCUGCGUGCUCUUGUGAAAGGCACACUCUGCAACACCAGUGCUGGAUGUACCAGAAGGAUGCUCAGCAGCCAUGGCCUUGCUGUACAACCUGAAGCUAUUUUCCUAUUUGAAACCCUCUGUCUGCUUUGUUUUGAGAGUAGCCUGACUUUUAAUACAGAUAGAUGGAGCGCUAAGCAUGAGGGUGGACCUUGACUGAAUCUCUGCUAGCUACUGUAAUAUAAAUUGCAUUGUAAUGUACAAUAUGUUGUCUUACAUCCAAGUUAUAGGCAAAUAUUUGUGUAGAGAUAAGCUGACAUUUUGACAUGCACUCUAAUUUCCAAUAAAACCUCUCAUAAAGAAUUACAAAGUGAAUUUAUUGCUUCACUUCAAAGCAAGGACAUGGUGCCACUUUAAAGGGGUAUUUGAACUGUUAAAUCAAUUUCUAUGAUGCUUUAGUAUAUUUUCUGUACUUUUUUUUUAAGUUAUUUUAAUAUUAUUUUGCCACUCUGUUAAAAGGCCAUAAAAUAUUUUAAAGAGCAAUAAAAGUAAACACAAAUGCUAAAAAGCCCAUUCUUCUCUCUUCAACCCACUGAGAGAGGAAGAGACAGAGGAUUUAGGCAUAACAAAAUUCAUGGCAGCUGUGUAAAUAAAAUAAAAGAGCACACUGUUUUUCUGUU